UACGAAGGGUGCAAGCGUUACUCGGAAUUACUGGGCGUAAAGCGUGCGUAGGUGGUGAGUUAAGUCUGAUGUGAAAUCCCCGGGCUCAACCUGGGAAUGGCAUUGGAUACUGGCUCGCUAGAGUGCGGUAGAGGGUGGUGGAAUUCCCGGUGUAGCAGUGAAAUGCGUAGAGAUCGGGAGGAACAUCUGUGGCGAAGGCGGCCACCUGGACCAACACUGACACUGAGGCACGAAAGCGUGGGGAGCAAACAGGG
This 254-nucleotide ribosomal RNA is filed under the name uncultured bacterium. RNAcentral's name for it is "partial 16S ribosomal RNA". It matches the Rfam family "Bacterial small subunit ribosomal RNA", at positions 524 to 777 of the family's 1533-position model. The record is from RNAcentral.